UCAAAUCUGGCUGUUUAUUAGGCUGGAUAUCAACGUCGAUGACGCAGUAUUUUUGAAUGAAUACGCAACAUCUCGACCCAUUUUGGUAUCGAUGACAGUUUGACUGUCGCCUUGAAAUGGGGAAAAUAGGGGGAAAUAGAUUCCAUGACCUCAGAAAUUAUUAGUGGCAAUUGACUAGACAGUUAUAUUGUCUGAAGAAACUAUGAGCCGAAUACAUAUGUGUUUCUGCUGCGAUGCAGCUUUGCUUGUACAGCUGUAAAAGAAGUGUAAAUACUAAAUUCUCCGGCAGUCUCCACGUUACCUAAUCUUCUGUAAGAAUAUUCCGGUCAAGCGGACGAAGUUGCAGAACUCCGCAUAAAAGAUAGGCUCUCGACAGUCUGCUAUCGGAGGAUUCUUGGAUACUUCGGUCAUGUUGCUCGACGACAGUCCGACAAUCUGGACAAACUAAUGGUUGUAGGCAAGAUAGAGGGAAAAAGACCGCGCGGACGAUCGCCUAAUCGAUGGUCGGACCAAGUAACCGCUGUUACAGGACUGUCAAUUGCAGCUGCCCUGCGAGAAGCUGAAGACCGUGCACAAUGGAAUAACACCAUAAGAGAGACAACAGACACCUUUCAAGGACACGACCUUCAGUAAUGAAGUGGACGGAGAGAGAAAGAGAGAAAAUAACGGAAUUUAAUAUAAAUAUAAUAAUUAAAUAAAUAAAUACAUUAUAGUCGAUGUAAUUUAAUAAUAAAUUUAAUUUAACCGUAAUUGUCAAGUAGUAAAAUUAAAUUCUACCUAGUCCAGCCAUGAGUUCUAUUACAAAUAAAAAUAUUUUUUUUAUGAAGUAAAAUACUAAAAUUUAUACCUUAAUAUUUAUUAAAGUCUCAGCAAAAAAUAAUAAAAUAUUCUAUUCGAAAUAAUAACUAAACUUUAAAUAAUAAUAGUUUAGUUCACUCUACCCGCUGAUAUUUGUAUUUCUUUCCACUUUGGAUUUGCUGGAAGAGAACUCUUUUAGAGUUAAACUCGCCUUUGUACAUUUGAUUACUUCUGUCGUAUGUACAUACAUACAUACAUAUCUGUCACGCCUG
Long non-coding RNA from Galleria mellonella (greater wax moth), 1070 nucleotides. RefSeq lists it as uncharacterized. NCBI's taxonomy places the organism in Eukaryota, Metazoa, Arthropoda, Insecta, Lepidoptera, Pyralidae. The transcript is spliced from 3 exons. The record is from RefSeq and is a predicted model, not a curated record.